CCGGAAUUAUUGGGCGUAAAGAGCUCGUAGGCGUUUGUCGCGUCUGUCGUGAAAGUCCGAGGCUUAACCCCGGAUCUGCGGUGGGUACGGGCAGACUAGAGUGCAGUAGGGGAGACUGGAAUUCCUGGUGUAGCGGUGGAAUGCGCAGAUAUCAGGAGGAACACCGAUGGCGAAGGCAGGUCUCUGGGCUGUAACUGACGCUGAGGAGCGAAAGCAUGGGGAGCGAACAGGAUUAGAUACCCUGGUAGUCCAUGCCGUAAACGUUGGGCACUAGGUGUGGGGACCAUUCCACGGUUUCCGCGCCGCAGCUAACGCAUUAAGUGCCCCGCCUGGGGAGUACGGCCGCAAGGCUAAAACUCAAAGGAAUUGACGGGGGCCCGCACAAGCGGCGGAGCAUGCGGAUUAAUUCGAUGCAACGCGAAGAACCUUACCAAGGCUUGACAUGUUCUCGAUCGCCGUAGAGAUACGGUUUCCCCUUUGGGGCGGGUUCACAGGUGGUGCAUGGUUGUCGUCAGCUCGUGUCGUGAGAUGUUGGGUUAAGUCCCGCAACGAGCGCAACCCUCGUUCCAUGUUGCCAGCACGUAAUGGUGGGGACUCAUGGGAGACUGCCGGGGUCAACUCGGAGGAAGGUGAGGACGACGUCAAAUCAUCAUGCCCCUUAUGUCUUGGGCUUCACGCAUGCUACAAUGGCCGGUACAAUGGGUUGCGAUACUGUGAGGUGGAGCUAAUCCCAAAAAGCCGGUCUCAGUUCGGAUUGGGGUCUGCAACUCGACCCCAUGAAGUCGGAGUCGCUAGUAAUCGCAGAUCAGCAACGCUGCGGUGAAUACGUUCCCGGGCCUUGUACACACCGCCCGUCAAGUCACGAAAGUUGGUAACACCCGAAGCCGCGUGGCCUAACCCUUGUGGGGGAGCCG
This is a ribosomal RNA of 914 nucleotides. It matches the Rfam family "Bacterial small subunit ribosomal RNA", at positions 545 to 1453 of the family's 1533-position model.